UACGAGGGGGGCAAGCGUUGUUCGGAAUUAUUGGGCGUAAAGGGCGCGUAGGCGGUGCGGUAAGUCUGAUGUGAAAUCUCCGGGCUCAACUCGGAGUCUGCAUCAGAAACUGCCGUGCUCGAGUGUGGGAGAGGUGAGUGGAAUUCCCGGUGUAGCGGUGAAAUGCGUAGAUAUCGGGAGGAACGCCUGUGGCGAAAGCGGCUCACUGGACCACAACUGACGCUGAGGCGCGAAAGCUAGGGGAGCAAACAGGG
RNAcentral lists this ribosomal RNA (254 nucleotides) under uncultured bacterium. Its description in RNAcentral is "partial 16S ribosomal RNA". It matches the Rfam family "Bacterial small subunit ribosomal RNA", at positions 524 to 777 of the family's 1533-position model. The record is from RNAcentral.